Molecule: long non-coding RNA, 564 nt
Organism: Paramisgurnus dabryanus
Lineage: Eukaryota; Metazoa; Chordata; Actinopteri; Cypriniformes; Cobitidae
Source: RefSeq, a predicted model, not a curated record
GAUGCAUGUUGUGGUUUCCUGUGGGCCGAUCUUCUACUUCCUAAUUCAGAUACUUUGUGAGUCUCGUUUUGUGUCUUUUCUCUCACUUGUUGUAAUGGAGUUGUUCAUCAUCACUCUUCUGCAUCUUCUUAUGAAGGUUCAGUCAUUUAACGUUCCUAAUAUAAAAGUGUCUCCUGAUGUCAUAAAAGAGUCAAACUCAGUACAUCUGAUCUGUGAGACUGAUGUUAAAGUGAAUCAGUGUUAUUUCUAUUCAAACAAUGAGGAAAAUACAAAACUCAGUCAAUCAUGUCAACUUCAUCUCACUGGAACUGAACUUCUCUUAUGGAAGCAUGAAAAAUCACCUGUAUCACUCAACAUUAGAUGCUUUUACACAAUAAAUGAGAAUGGGAUUCAUAAACCAUCACCUUACUCUCCUCCUGUCACACUGACAAUACUAGAUACUCUUCAGAAACCCUCCAUCAGUGUUAAUGGCACCAUUGACCGGCUCAUUAUAUCAUGUGAAAUACCACUGACAGUCAAAGCUGAAUUCAUCUGUAAUCUCUACACUGAGUAUGGACCUCUGAC